CACAAAAUAUUUUCAGCAAGAAUGUAAGCCAUAUUACAACAACUUACUACACCCAUUUCAGCCAACAUAGAAACUAAGGUACUUUCAACAUCUAGAUACUAUGAUAAUAUUUACACUUGUGUACUGCAGUAGUUUUCUUCCUCCUUGAACUGCCUUCAGUCUUGCUGCUAAAGUCUUUUGUGUAACAACUGAUUGCCUUACAUAAAAUAUGAUCUAUCAGCCAUAAAGAGAAGUACAUAAAACUGAAGUGACAAGUGAUAGCAAAAACAUUGCUUCAUUUUAGCUAAUGUGACAAAGUGAUAACAAAUGUGUUGAAACAGAGUGAUAGCUAAAGUCAAAGUGGUGAAACAAACUUCUACUAAUUUUCUCCCAGAUUGCCACACACCUUCCUGCCUGCCUUUGAGUGCAGUAGUAGAAUUGUCGUUGCACCACUAACCUUGAAGUCUGUAAAAUGUAACAACAUCAUACCCAAUUAUCAAAUCAAAUCUUCACAACCAACACAAACAAACUCCAGAAUAUAUAAGCUUAAUUUCAACUCCUUAAAAAUUAGAUGAAGCAGCAACUUACAGCAAUAUACAAGCAGCAACUUAAAUGCAAUCUAAAUUCAUUUUUACAUUAUCCCCACAACUAUCAAUUGCAUGGUUCAUAGCAUCCAUAAUAAACAACAGUUCCCUGAGAAUAAAUUUAAAAGAACAAUUAAGUCCAUACUCAAUACAAAAAAGUCUUUGAAACUAUUAACCAAUAUUUAAACUUUAAAUCUUUUCUCAAACUCAUCCUCAACAUCAUGGGUCUAUCAGAAAGUUAUCAACAUGAAUCCUUGCUUAAGAGAAAUAGAGAGCUAUAAUACAAUUAUUUACACUUUGGAGUUAGGAGACAUACCAGAUUUUAAGUACUGGACAACUUUUGUUCCUUUAAAAUUUGGAAAAAUAAGUAAUACUUGUC
Molecule: long non-coding RNA, 942 nt
Filed under: Panax ginseng (ginseng)
Lineage: Eukaryota; Viridiplantae; Streptophyta; Magnoliopsida; Apiales; Araliaceae
Description: long non-coding RNA (PGIN_LNC003776)
Source: RNAcentral